GAUGAACGCUGGCGGCGUCCCUAAUACAUGCGAGUCGAGCGAACAGACGAGGAGCUUGCUCCUCUGACGUUAGCGGCGGACGGGUGAGUAACACGUGGAUAACCUACCUAUAAGACUGGGAUAACUUCGGGAAACCGGAGCUAAUACCGGAUAAUAUAUUGAACCGCAUGGUUCAAUAGUGAAAGACGGUUUUGCUGUCACUUAUAGAUGGAUCCGCGCCGCAUUAGCUAGUUGGUAAGGUAACGGCUUACCAAGGCAACGAUGCGUAGCCGACCUGAGAGGGUGAUCGGCCCAAAUGGAACUGAGACACGGUCCCGACACCCAAGGGAGGAAGCAGUAGGGAAAGCUACGGAAUGGGCGGAAGCCUGAAGGAGCAACGGCGAGGGAGUGAUGAAGGACUUAGGAUGCUAAAAACUUGUUAUUAGGGAAGAACAAAUGUGUAAGUAACUAUGCACGUCUUGACGGUACCUAAUCAGAAAGCCACGGCUAACUACGUG
This 497-nucleotide ribosomal RNA is filed under the name uncultured bacterium. RNAcentral describes it as "partial 16S ribosomal RNA". It matches the Rfam family "Bacterial small subunit ribosomal RNA", at positions 28 to 507 of the family's 1533-position model. The record is from RNAcentral.